This 757-nucleotide long non-coding RNA is filed under the name Mytilus galloprovincialis (Mediterranean mussel). The record is from RNAcentral. Lineage: Eukaryota; Metazoa; Mollusca; Bivalvia; Mytilida; Mytilidae.
UGUCGUGUUGUGUAAAUAAACUUUGAUGUAUGAACGUAUUAUCAGGAAAGAUGUUGAUUUCAAGCGAUCUUGUUCCGUUUAUAUUAACUCAGUGUCUAGACUAAACAAGUUCAAUUGGUGUUAGUUCUUUGUUUCAAGUAAACUCGUCAUUAGUAUCGCAGAUCUGGUAAGUUAUGUGAGCACCAAACGUUUUUCUCCGUAGUCGAAAUAUGAAAAUAAAUAAAAUACUGUUCAAAACAAUGUAUAAAUAGCAUAUAUCAUUAAACUAUAAAACAUUAUCAUAGUUAAUCAAGCUACAUAAAUAUUACUAUCUAUAUAUAUAUAUAUAUAUAUUGCAUGACUGGGACGAUUAUUAUCAAUUUCCAUCCACACAACUUCUUUUCUAUAUACUCAUUGUUGUAAUUGCAGAAAACACAGAGAGACAAUACAGGUGAUUUUCAUAAGCUAGAAAUAUCAACAUUUGUUCACCGUAUUUUAUCGUCGUAGAUCUGUACUCCUUAACCUUUCCCCAUCUGUAAUGCAAUAUUUAAUUGUCCAAGACAAAAUUAAAUGGAUAAGGUCAAUGCAUGUGUUGAGAAAAGAUGAUGCUGUAGCUUUGUUCGUCUUUAUCACUCCUCAUUACAUACUUACAUGUCUAUUAUACCUUUCUCUAUAGUUGUGAUAAAUGAGUUGAAUAAUGUUGUGUGUGACAUCGGGGAGAAAGUAUAAAAAAAUAAUUGUGAAUGGUCAUGCGUAUAUGAACCAUUAAUCAUAAAGC